RNAcentral lists this ribosomal RNA (404 nucleotides) under Actinomycetes bacterium. Its description in RNAcentral is "Actinobacteria bacterium partial 16S ribosomal RNA". It matches the Rfam family "Bacterial small subunit ribosomal RNA", at positions 355 to 776 of the family's 1533-position model. Lineage: Bacteria; Bacillati; Actinomycetota; Actinomycetes. The record is from RNAcentral.
UGGGGAAUAUUGGACAAUGGGCGCAAGCCUGAUCCAGCCAUGCCGCGUGAGUGAUGAUGGCCUUAGGGUUGUAAAGCUCUUUUGUCCGGGAAGAUAAUGACUGUACCGGAAGAAUAAGCCCCGGCUAACUUCGUGCCAGCAGCCGCGGUAAUACGAAGGGGGCUAGCGUUGCUCGGAAUCACUGGGCGUAAAGGGCGCGUAGGCGGACUUUUAAGUCGGGGGUGAAAGCCCAGGGCUCAACCCUGGAAUUGCCUUCGAUACUGGGAGUCUUGAGUUCGGAAGAGGUUGGUGGAACUGCGAGUGUAGAGGUGAAAUUCGUAGAUAUUCGCAAGAACACCGGUGGCGAAGGCGGCCAACUGGUCCGAAACUGACGCUGAGGCGCGAAAGCGUGGGGAGCAAACAGG